GCGGGGGUGGUGGAAUUGGUAGACACGCUGGAUUUAGGUUCCAGUGUCGUAAGACGUGAGAGUUCGAGUCUCUCUCUCCGCACCA
RNAcentral lists this transfer RNA (85 nucleotides) under Candidatus Thioglobus sp. RNAcentral's name for it is "tRNA-Leu". It matches the Rfam family "tRNA". From Rfam's summary of the family: Transfer RNA (tRNA) molecules are approximately 80 nucleotides in length. Their secondary structure includes four short double-helical elements and three loops (D, anti-codon, and T loops). Further hydrogen bonds mediate the characteristic L-shaped molecular structure. tRNAs have two regions of fundamental functional importance: the anti-codon, which is responsible for specific mRNA codon recognition, and the 3' end, to which the tRNAs corresponding amino acid is attached (by aminoacyl-tRNA synthetases). tRNAs cope with the degeneracy of the genetic code in two manners: having more than one tRNA (with a specific anti-codon) for a particular amino acid; and 'wobble' base-pairing, i.e. permitting non-standard base-pairing at the 3rd anti-codon position. Lineage: Bacteria; Pseudomonadati; Pseudomonadota; Gammaproteobacteria; Pseudothioglobaceae (SeqCode). The record is from RNAcentral.